ACUCAACGUUUUUAUUUUAAAAGGGGUGAGUCUUAAUUGUUAAAGCAAGCUGGAAGUUAUCAGAUCCUUGAUCAAUUAGUUAGCCCCAAACUUGUUUCUUUGGAGUUU
RNAcentral lists this small RNA (108 nucleotides) under Flavobacteriaceae bacterium. Its description in RNAcentral is "6S RNA". It matches the Rfam family "6S-Flavo RNA". Lineage: Bacteria; Pseudomonadati; Bacteroidota; Flavobacteriia; Flavobacteriales; Flavobacteriaceae. The record is from RNAcentral.